This 254-nucleotide ribosomal RNA is filed under the name uncultured bacterium. Its description in RNAcentral is "partial 16S ribosomal RNA". It matches the Rfam family "Bacterial small subunit ribosomal RNA", at positions 524 to 776 of the family's 1533-position model. The record is from RNAcentral.
UACGUAGGGUGCAAGCGUUGUCCGGAAUUAUUGGGCGUAAAGAGCUCGUAGGCGGUCUGUCGCGUCGGCUGUGAAAACUCGAGGCUCAACCUCGAGACGUCGGUUGAAACCGUCUGGCUAGAGUCCGGAAGAGGAGAGUGGAAUUCCCGGUGUAGCGGUGAAAAUGCGCAGAUAUCGGGAAGAACACCCGUGGCGAAGGCGGCUCUCUGGGACGGUACUGACGCUGAGACGCGAAAGCGUGGGGAGCGAACAGG